This 747-nucleotide small RNA is filed under the name Pan troglodytes (chimpanzee). RNAcentral's name for it is "processed transcript". Lineage: Eukaryota; Metazoa; Chordata; Mammalia; Primates; Hominidae. The record is from RNAcentral.
AGGGGGAACGGCGAGGUGGACGCGCGCGCCAUGCUCGGCUGUCUCCGCCUCCUUCCGGGCAGCCAAUCACUGGAGAGACGCUGGGCGCGGGCGCGCUCCCUCGGGUAACGGUCGCGAGAGGCCGCUUGCCUGACCGUGACAUCGGCAGCGGGAGCGGCGGCCAGACUCUCUUGGAAGUUUAGGAUAUUUCACAGUUCUGAAUGUUAGCCACUGAAAAUGCCAGUAGAUGAUGAAGCCUCUGAAGAUGACACGGAUUCACUUUCCUCAAACAGCCCAAGAACCUUUAUUUUCCAAUAAGAGAAUAUAACAAUUUCUGUACACUAUGGAAGAGUUUGACUUGGUGAAAACCUUACACAAAACUUCAUCUUCUGUAGGAUCUGAUGAAAAUUCUCUUCAUUCUCUUGGACUGAACUUAAAUACUGAUAGACCAGGUGGUUACAGCUAUUCAAUUUGGUGGAAAAACAAUGCCAAGAACAGAUAGUUGCCCAGCAGGAGCAGUUUCACAACCAAAUUCAACAUAUACAGGAGGAGAUAAAAAAUUUAGUCAAAUUACAGACUAGUAGUGCUUCCUUGGCUUCCUGUGAAGGAAAUUCUUCAAACAAACAAGUAUCUUCGGAAAGUCAAAUGGGUUUUUUUUCUCUAAGCAGUGAGAGAAAUGAAUCUGUUAUCCAUUAUCCUGAAUCCACAGAACUUGAAAUACAGCAAGAAAUGUCCACGUCACAACCAGACUGCAAUGUGGAUAGUUGC